RNAcentral lists this ribosomal RNA (143 nucleotides) under Amanita sp. 'cattaraugana'. RNAcentral's name for it is "partial 28S ribosomal RNA". It matches the Rfam family "Eukaryotic large subunit ribosomal RNA", at positions 1 to 138 of the family's 3401-position model. The record is from RNAcentral. Lineage: Eukaryota; Fungi; Basidiomycota; Agaricomycetes; Agaricales; Amanitaceae.
UUGACCUCAAAUCAGGUAGGACUACCCGCUGAACUUAAGCAUAUCAAUAAGCGGAGGAAAAGAAACUAACAAGGAUUCCCCUAGUAACUGCGAGUGAAGCGGGAAAAGCUCAAAUUUGAAAUCUGGCAGUCUUUUUUUUCUUC